AGUGAACGCUGGCGGUAGGCCUAACACAUGCAAGUCGAACGGCAGCACAGUAAGAGCUUGCUCUUACGGGUGGCGAGUGGCGGACGGGUGAGGAAUACAUCGGAAUCUACUUUUUCGUGGGGGAUAACGUAGGGAAACUUACGCUAAUACCGCAUACGACCUACGGGUGAAAGCAGGGGAUCUUCGGACCUUGCGCGAUUGAAUGAGCCGAUGUCGGAUUAGCUAGUUGGCGGGGUAAAGGCCCACCAAGGCGACGAUCCGUAGCUGGUCUGAGAGGAUGAUCAGCCACACUGGAACUGAGACACUGUCCAGAGUCCUACGGAAGGCAGCGGUGGGGAAAAUUGGACAAUGGGCGCAAGCCUGAUCCAGCCAUACCGCGUGGGUGAAGAAGGCCUUCGGGUUGUAAAGCCCUUUUGUUGGGAAAGAAAAGCAGCAGGUUAAUACCCCGCUGUUCUGACGGUACCCAAAGAAUAAGCACCGGCUAACCUCGUG
This 492-nucleotide ribosomal RNA is filed under the name uncultured bacterium. Its description in RNAcentral is "partial 16S ribosomal RNA". It matches the Rfam family "Bacterial small subunit ribosomal RNA", at positions 29 to 507 of the family's 1533-position model. The record is from RNAcentral.